RNAcentral lists this ribosomal RNA (398 nucleotides) under uncultured bacterium. RNAcentral's name for it is "partial 16S ribosomal RNA". It matches the Rfam family "Bacterial small subunit ribosomal RNA", at positions 360 to 773 of the family's 1533-position model. The record is from RNAcentral.
AAUAUUGCGCAAUGGUGGAAACCCUGACGCAGCGACGCCUCGUGAACGAUGAAGGCCUUCUGUUCGAAAAGUUCUGUUCUCAGGGAAGGAUAAAUGACGGCACCGGAGGAGGAAGCCCCGGCGAACUAAGUGUCAGCAUCCGCGGUAAUACGAAGGGGGCAAGCGUGGUCCGGAAUUAUUGGGAGUAAAGGGUGCGUAGGCGGCCUUUUAAGUCAGAUGUGAAAGACCACAGCUGAACUGUGGGAUUGCAUUUGAAACUGAAGGGCUUGAGUGUCGGAGAGGGUAGUGGAAUUCCCGGAGUAGCGGUGAAAUGCGUAGAUAUCGGGAGGACCACCAGUGGCGAAGGCGACUACCUGGACGACAACUGACGCUGAGGCACGAAAGCUAGGGGAGCAAAC